ACCUGGUUGAUCCUGCCAGUAGUCAUAUGCUUGUCUCAAAGAUUAAGCCAUGCAUGUCUAAGUAUAAGCAAUUAUACAGUGAAACUGCGAAUGGCUCAUUAAAUCAGUUAUCGUUUAUUUGAUGUUCCACAUUACAUGGAUACCUGUGGUAAUUCUAGAGCUAAUACAUGCGAAACCUGCGACUCACGGAGCGGGGCGUUUAUCAGCUGUAAACCAACGCCCUUCGGGGCAAUUUGGUGAUUCAUGAUAACCAAGCGGAUCGCACGGCCUUGCGCUGGCGACGGAUCAAUCAAGUUUCUGCCCUAUCAACUUUCGACUUUAGUGUAUUGGACUAAAGUGGUUAUAACGGGUAACGGAGGGUUAGGGCUCGACCCCGGAGAAGAGCCUGAGAAACGGCUACUACAUCCAAGGAAGGCAGCAGCGCGCAAAUUACCCAAUCCCGACACGGGGAGGUAGUGACGAUACAUACUGAUGCGGGGCUUUUAUGAGUCCUGCAAUUGGAAUGAGUACAAUUUAAACCUCUUAACGAGGAGCGACUACAGGGCAAGUCUGGUGCCAGCAGCCGCGGUAAUUCCAGCUGUAGUAGCGUAUAUUAACGUUGCUGUGGUUAAAAAGUUCGUAGUUGAACCUGGGCCUCGUGCCCGCCUGUCCGCCUCACCGGCAUGUACGGGCGUGGCCGAGUCUUCUCUAGGGGAUACUCAUGCCCUUUACUGGGUGUGAGGGUAGCCUGGACGUUUACUGUGAAAAAAUU
Molecule: ribosomal RNA, 751 nt
Filed under: uncultured eukaryote
Lineage: Eukaryota
Description: bacterial SSU rRNA
Rfam family: Eukaryotic small subunit ribosomal RNA
Source: RNAcentral